UGUACUUAAUCACAUAAUGCUCCUUAGACUUUAGCUGCCGUGCAUUUAACUUUCGUCUCAUUUUAUCUGUGAAUAUCCUACCAGUCCCCCUUCUUCAUGCUGUAAUUGCACAUCUAACACUGAACCACUUCGACAAGCGUUCGAAGGAAAGAUGAACAAGAGUGGUAAUGGGCAAUGAGCGAGCCCUCUUCAAUACUUUAUUGAAACUUUCAGAUAGAUUGAUAUUCAUUAUUCCAUACC
Molecule: long non-coding RNA, 240 nt
Filed under: Elaeis guineensis (African oil palm)
Lineage: Eukaryota; Viridiplantae; Streptophyta; Magnoliopsida; Arecales; Arecaceae
Description: long non-coding RNA (EGUI_LNC009193)
Source: RNAcentral